Tupaia belangeri chinensis (Chinese tree shrew) is the source of this 1862-nucleotide long non-coding RNA. RefSeq lists it as uncharacterized. The transcript has 3 exons. The record is from RefSeq and is a predicted model, not a curated record. Lineage: Eukaryota; Metazoa; Chordata; Mammalia; Scandentia; Tupaiidae.
CCCUAGGAGUCAGCCUGGAUUGACAUCAUAAAUAAGGAAAACAUUAUCUGGAGUAUCCAGUGCUCCUGAACGCGUGAGCUGGAGGGCAUUAUGAGGCCAUCGUCUUCCACCUGAUUUUUCCCAUAAGAACACAGGGGAGUCACCUUGCAGUCACUCUGGGAAGGUCACUUGCAGACAGUCCCACUCACAGCCCUGCAGACCCGUACUUCAAUACUGCAGUGUUCUCGAGUUGUUUCCGACUAUGACCUGGAGAAGACACCUGUUGACGUAACGUGACUGUUAACUACACUGAGGAAGAGAUCAGACUGAGUUGUAUGAAGAGAGCACAUGCGCAGCCACGUCCUAUAAAUUGUUACUAUCUGCAAAAUGAAGAUAAUGGACAAGCCGUCCCAUCCCGCAGGAGCGUGGUGGAGAUUAAUUAGGCAGCUCAUUUGAGAUUCAAAGUGUGGUGAGUCCACAAGAAAAGCGCUGGGAAGAACAAAGGAGGGACCUGCGCUUCAUUUUAGCAGACCGGCCACACCAAAGACACCAGCAGCCCCUCUGGAGGCACACCCGCGUUUGUUAAUUAACUGGUAUCAAGAAGUCAUGGUGACUGCCAGGGGUUAAUGGGAAGAUAGAACUUACUGGAACAGCUGUAGAGCUGUAAAUCCAGCGCUGCUUGUCUCAAAGGAGCAGGGGUCCUGAGCAUCAAACCUGAGGGGCUUCCUGGCCUUCUGCGCAUGGUUUAGAAACCCUCAGCUUGUAGUUGGGAACAUGAGCAUAUUUUUUCCUAAUGAAAACUAAUAUCCUUUACUUCUCGUAAUGCCUAAAACAACAAUUAUUUUAGAGAGAGAGAGAGACCUAGUUAGUUUGCCUUCCAUAAUCCUUUGAUGGAAGAGUUUUAUUCUCAUAUCCCAGUGUGUGAGACUCAAGACACACGCGUGCACAGACACACAUGCACACACAUACAUGAGCGCACACACAUGCACACACACACACACACAAACACACACAUGCAUGCACACACGGCGGAAUAUGAAGUUUAGCAAGAAACCAGCAGGACACACGGGAGGCCUGAGAGCAGUCCCCAGCCCACCUAGAAGGAAGCGAUAUGAAAUAUACAGAGCAGGAUCUAAUAGAUCCACGGAACUUUUAAAUCAUGGCUUGGCCUUGCAAGAGAAACCUAAAUGAACACAAGUCCCAUGGAAAAGUUACAGAAGAAAGUGAGAUGUUUGUCUUUUUGUUAAAGGAAUCUUUCGAGGCAGGUUUUGUGGGAACAGUAAGAGAGGAAGGGGUGUUGAUAAAGAACCAAAUGCAUCCAUCCCCAGGCAGCCCCCACCUCUCUCUGGCAGAGCCCGGACACCUCCUGUCCAGCCUCCGCGUCUGGAGGGAGCUCUGCAUAGACCGCCGCAGGAAAGCCGUGUUCCAGUGAAGGCUCACGCCCUGAAAAAGCACUGUGGUUCUGCCUGGCCAGGAGAGUCCCUGCAUAGGGAAGGAAGGAGAGGUCAGGACAAAUUAAAAAGCAAGCUGUAAAUAAAUUGAAACUAAGAAAUGAAGCAGAAAGAGGCCCCUUGGAGGAGAAGAACGUAAGACUAUCAGCAAGCUGCGGGCAAUGGAGAUAUGGCACCUCGAGAUCUGAGGAAACAGCAGAAGCAGGGUGGUCGCUCAGGCACGCCCCACACAGCUGGGCAGUGAGUCCUUCGUCUGGGCUUGGUUCCUUUGCCAUCAUUCUGUUCAUCGCGGCCCUUCCGGGGGACACCGCGUGGAGCUGGAGGCAGUGAUGGGCAUGGCCCUGACCUCCUACGCGCCACUCUGUGUGUCUGCGUCUUUGUUUACAACAAAAGGUUUAAAAGUUAAAAAUAAACAAAUAUGUUUUAAAGUAG